This 480-nucleotide ribosomal RNA is filed under the name uncultured bacterium. RNAcentral describes it as "partial 16S ribosomal RNA". It matches the Rfam family "Bacterial small subunit ribosomal RNA", at positions 28 to 507 of the family's 1533-position model. The record is from RNAcentral.
GACGAACGCUGGCGGCGUGCUUAACACAUGCAAGUCGAACGAUGAAGAAAAGACUCGAAGCUUCGGCAGAAAUUCAUUUCGGAUUAGUGGCAGACGGGUGAGUAACGCGUGAGCAACCUACCUCUUACAAAGGGAUAGCCUCGGGAAACCGGGAUUAAUACCAUAUAACAUUGCGACGAAGCAUUUCGAUGCAAUCAAAGCUACGGCGGUAAGAGAUGGGCUCGCGUCCCAUUAACCGGAUGGUGAGGUAACGGCUCACCAUAGUGACGAUGGGUAACCGGCCUGAGAGGGUGAACGGUCACACUGGAACUGAGACACGGUCCAGACUCCUACGGGAGGCAGCAGUGGGGAAUAUUGCACAAUGGAGGGAACUCUGAUGCAGCGACGCCGCGUGAGUGAUGAAGGAAUUCGUUUCGUAAAACUCUGUUCUAUGGGAAGAAAAGGACUGUACCAUAGGAGAAAGCUCCGGCUAAAUACGUG